UGACUCUGCCUAGGUGAGGUCUCAAAAUGGAUGUAGAGGCAGAAAGAUGUGUGUAUCAGAAUCGACUGGGGACAUUUUUCAGACCGCUCCCUACCUCGCUCUUCCUUCCAUCCCUAGUUAAGAACAACUGUGACUGAAGAAAAUUUCAGUGCCAUCAGGUAUGGGACGUUUAGAGGGGAGACGCCCUGGGAGCUUCACAUCCAUGGAAGAGUACUGAGAUGACUUCACCUGGCUCUCUACAGCCCCAAACCUGCUCAUGGAGACAGACUGGGGAGACAAUCAGCAGGUCAUUAGCGUACCGUACAAAUCACCUUGGACUCAGGAUGGAACCCUGGGGACCUGAAGCUGCAAUAGACUGCAG
This 361-nucleotide long non-coding RNA is filed under the name Ursus americanus (American black bear). RNAcentral describes it as "lncRNA (ENSUAMG00000022779.1)". Lineage: Eukaryota; Metazoa; Chordata; Mammalia; Carnivora; Ursidae. The record is from RNAcentral.